CCUACGGGAGGCUACAGUGAGGAAUAUUGGUCAAUGGACGAGAGUCUGAACCAGCCAAGUAGCGUGAAGGAUGACUGCCCUAUGGGUUGUAAACUUCUUUUAUAUGGGAAUAAAAUGUUCCACGUGUGGGAUUUUGUAUGUACCAUAUGAAUAAGGAUCGGCUAACUCCGUGCCAUCAGCCGCGGUAAUACGGAGGAUCCGAGCGUUAUCCGGAUUUAUUGGGUUUAAAGGGAGCGUAGGUGGAUUGUUAAGUCAGUUGUGAAAGUUUGCGGCUCAACCGUAAAAUUGCAGUUGAAACUGGCAGUCUUGAGUACAGUAGAGGUGAGCGGAAUUCGUGGUGUAGCGGUGAAAUGCUUAGAUAUCACGAAGAACUCCGAUUGCGAAGGCAGCUCACUGGACUGCAACUGACACUGAGGCUCGAAAGUGUGGGUAUCAAACAGGAUUAGAUACCCUUGUAGUC
Molecule: ribosomal RNA, 460 nt
Filed under: uncultured bacterium
Lineage: Bacteria
Description: partial 16S ribosomal RNA
Rfam family: Bacterial small subunit ribosomal RNA
Source: RNAcentral